Heterocephalus glaber (naked mole-rat) is the source of this 1340-nucleotide long non-coding RNA. The record is from Ensembl. Lineage: Eukaryota; Metazoa; Chordata; Mammalia; Rodentia; Bathyergidae.
GGCGUCCGGAGGAGCCGGCUCGGAGGGGCUGGGCUGGGCCGCCCCCGCCUCGCCCCCGCCUCCCCGGCCUCGCCGCUCCGUCGCCUCCUGGGACUGCGGCCCACGCGCCCCGCCCGCCCCGCUGAGGUGGAACCCGAGGCCGGAGCUUAGCGCCCAGUAACAGAGAGGUAUUGAGACGUCCUCGGACUGAAAGAACGGUGAGACUCAACGAAUCUCCCCGCACCCCUGGCCCUUUUCCCUCGGGCUUUCACAGCUUCCUCCUAAAGUGGAAAAAUGGGAAAGACUUGGAGGCUGCCAAGCCAAAGUGGAAACCUCGGUACCUGUGAAAUUAAAGCAACAUCCUAAUGCCCGGAUUCUUUUAAUAGAAGAUGUUCAGAGGAACUUUAUUCUCUCCUACUCACCCUGCUAACAUUCACAGAAGGUCUAGAUGUUCAGGUAUCUCUGAAUUAUUCGUCAAGUUGCUGCCACGAAUUCUGUAGCAGCAGGAGGACUGAAAGAGAAGUCAUCUUUGCCGGGGUUGUAGUAAACGAACAUGUUUCCAGCUUUCAGAGACAAGUUUGGGAAGCUGCAGAUACCUCAGACAGUUUUCUUGCCUCUGCUGGACAGGGUGCGGAGAGCAGAGGGAGGGGAAGAGAAGCCAGCGCUUUCUUAACCCCAUUGUCUAAGCAGAGUAGAAUGUACUCGGGUCAGAAGUGCAAUUCAUGUAUACCAAAACAUUCCCCCAUUCCUAUCCUUCCCAUGUCAGGUCUCACCCAAAGGAACGAAUAUUUAUCCAACUUAUCCCCUGUUCUAAACGCCACAGGACGAAGCUCACCGACCCAAACUAUUUUACUCACACCCUAGUCUUACCCACGUCCCACUCUUCCCCGAUUCCCCAGAUUUUCUCAUUGCUCAGCAAAAUCCCCUUUGUUUCAAGUCCUGUGACUAUUUCCUUAGCAUUCUUGCCAUAGCUGAAACCUACUGCUUCCCCCUUUAGUCCCUCUCUAGUCUCCUCUCCUCAGUCUACUCUUGGGAAGUUGCUGUAAUUUAGAUUAAUAAAUUUGGAAAGAAUAAUUAUGCCUGCUUGCUGGGUUUGUCCAUUUUCCUCCUAAAAGGGAACUUCUGGAAGGAAGGUUUAUGACUAGUUACUGUGCCAGGCAGGGCAAGUAUUAGGAGGAAGAUUCAAGCAAUAACAUAUUUCACUAUUUUUGCUACUUGUAUUGUUAAUUCUCAUUAGACAACUCAGUGUAUGUUGCUGUAUAUGGAAAAUUAUGUGUAGGAAAAUUAUGUUCAUCACCUUAACAUUUCCAAGAUUCACACUUUUCAAAUGUAAACUGAAGCAGUUAGACUAGAUCUCUGAA